AGUAUCUAUGAUUUAGCUACUCUAGAGCCUUCCAAAGGUAUCAGGUGUGCCUUAUCCAUUAGCACAGAGAGGCACAGGGCUGAGCAGCUGAAGGGAGUACACCGCUGUGGUUUGACCUGCUCAAUAUCCCUUCUUCCUGAAACAGAAUCUAUCUUUUCUUGGGGAGCCACCCCUCCACUACUUUUAGCCCUUGGCUUAGGUUCCUCUUUUAAGACUCAGUUCUACCAGGAGGUAACCUCUGGUAAAUUCUCAAAUCCCAGUGCCAGGGUUAGGCAUGCGAUCAAGGCAAUAUAUCCAAGAAGCGGUAUGGGAGGCAAUUUGAGCCAAUGAGAUGCAACUCAAUACCUGGAGCCCCUGGGCCAGAGACUUGGAGUUUGUAUAUCUGCAAUUGUUGGGGUUUUGCCUUCUCUCCAAGAAAGCCUGAGUGAGGAUGAAGACAACGGGAUAAAGCAGAAACGAGAGGGAGAGAUGGAUUCCUCCUGACACCAUUUGAGCUCCUCCUUCUCCAGCUGAGCGUGAGCUAGCCCUGCAUUUUCCCGUUGCUUGGGCUCGUAAAUUCUCUUUGUGCUUGAGUGGGUUUGAGGAGCAUUUCUCAAGGAUGGAUCAUAACUGACUAUUGUGUGUCUCAAGGUUGGCUCCAAACCAGCAGAAGCUGAAUAAAGAACCAUGAACUUGGAAUGACUGUGUGACGCUAGGCUCUUACUGGUCCUAACUGAAGACUUUUUCCCAACAGCAAGCAAUGGGGCUUCUUUUAACCAACUCUAUUUACAACCUUAGAUUCAUUCUGUUCUUUCCAAAGUACUGGAUUUCAACACUUAAUUAGCAAUAACCACAUGAACCUACCCUGGCAAGCCCUUUAACAACUCUGAAUUUUCCCUCUCAGUGAGCUACUACUUAAUUCAGUAAAUUUCUCCCUAUCCUGUAUUCCUGUGGCUAGCAAGUCAAUAGACUCAGCUUUUAUUUUAUUUUGAGAUGGAGUCUCGCUCUGUCAUUCAGGCUAGAGUGCAAUAGCUUCAUUUUGGCUCACUGCAACCUCUGCCUCCUGGGUUCAAGCGAUUCUCUUGCCUCAGCCUCCUGGGUAGCUGGGACUACAGGCAUGUGCCACCAUGCCCAGCUAAUUUUUGCAUUUCUAGCAGAGAUGGGGUUUCACCAUGUUGGCCAGGCUGGUCUUGAACUCCUCACCUCAAGUGAUCCACCCGCCUCGGCCUCCCAAAGUGCUGGGAUUACAGGCAUGAGCCACUGCUCCUGACCUCAACUUUUAAUUUUUAUCUAUCGAUCUAGUCUAUUAUUACCCGCUACUUACCUACCCAUCCAUCCAUUCAUCCAUCCAUCCAUCUGCCCAUCCUUUUUUUUUGUUUAUUAGCUCUGGUCUUUGUUAUAUUUGUUGAUAGGCC
Molecule: long non-coding RNA, 1394 nt
Filed under: Pan troglodytes (chimpanzee)
Lineage: Eukaryota; Metazoa; Chordata; Mammalia; Primates; Hominidae
Description: long non-coding RNA NONPTRT013994
Source: RNAcentral